UCCAUCCAUCAAUCCGUCCAUCCAUCAAUCCAUCCAUCCAUCCAUCCAUCCAUCCAUCAAUCCGUCCAUCCAUCAAUCCAUCCAUCCAUCCAUCCAUCCAUCCACCCAUCCAUCCACCCAUUCACAGCUGAACAAUGUCCAUCAUAAAGAGGCUCACCUGUCUGAACGAAGUUACCUGAUGGACUCCUGCAGGCUCACAGAAAGACAAGUUUUCGGUGAACACAUGAAGUCUGACUCCAUCUUCAGUCAGAUUAUACUCACAGGAACCAGUCCGACCACUAACAGCUGCUCACACAGCCACUAAAACUUUAUUGUCUGUGUGUUCAGUUCUGACAUGUGGAGCUUUCACCUGAAGCUCUGCUCCUCCUGAGACAAGAGCUGUAUGUCACCACCUGUUAGAGCAGCCAGGUGUGCUAUUAUCUGCUGCAGAGGAGAAUCUGAGCCCGCAGGCUGAGCCGUUAAAAGAGCUGAAACUAUGCAGAUUUUCUUAUUUUCAAGAGACAACAGCAGAGAGAAAUCCUUUCACACUGGACCCAACACUCCUCAGACCCAGAAACUUCUAAAACUAACAACACUAAUAAAAUAAUCAGAUACUAACACUCUGUGAACUCUGCAAACUACUAACACUCUGUGAACUACUGAAAGUCUGUGAACUACCAAAACUCAUUGAUGGACGGCCAUUAACUCAUCCCAGCUUCUCAGGUGACAGUGUCAGUUGGGAUGUCAUAGUUGGUAUGUCUCAGAUGUGAUGUCUCAGGUGCCUCAGGUGUGAUGUCCCAGGUGGAAUGUCUAAGAUGUGAUGUCUCAGGUGGGAUGUCUCAGCUGUGGUGCCUCAGGUGCCUCAGGUGUGUUGUCUCAGGUGUGGUGUCAAAGGUGGGAUGUGUCAGGUGUGAUGUCUUAGGUGUGACGUCACAGUUGGGAUGUCUCAGGUGGGAUGUCUCAGGUGGGAUGUCUAAGAUGUGAUGUCCCAGGUGCCUAAGGUGUGUUGUCUCAGGUGGGAUGUCUCAGGUGCCUCAGGUGUGUUGUCUCAGGUGGGAUGUCUCAGGUGUGGUGUCAAAGGUGGGAUGUCUAAGAUGUGAUGUCUCAGGUGCCUCAGGUGUGGUGUCCCAGGUGCCUAAGGUGUGUUGUCUCAGGUGGGAGGUCUCAGGUCUUUUGUUUCAGGUGUGUUGUCUCAGGUGUGGUGUCUCAGGUGUGGUGUCAAAGGUGGGAUGUCUCAGGUGUGAUUGUCAGUUGGGGAUGUCUCAGGUGUGAUGUCUAAGGUGUGGUUUCUCAGGUGUGUUUUCUCAGGUGGGAUGUCUCAGGUGUGGUGUCUCAGGUGUGGUGUCAAAGGUGGGAUGUCUCAGGUGUGAUGUCCCACGUGUGACGUCACAGGUGGGAUGUCCCAGGUGGGAGGUCUCAGGUCUUUUGUUUCAGGUGUGUUGUCUCAGGUGUGGUGUCUCAGGUGUGGUGUCAAAGGUGGGAUGUCUCAGGUGUGAUUGUCAGUUGGGGAUGUCUCAGGUGUGAUGUCUAAGGUGUGGUUUCUCAGGUGUGUUUUCUCAGGUGGGAUGUCUCAGGUGUGGUGUCUCAGGUGUGGUGUCAAAGGUGGGAUGUCUCAGGUGUGAUGUCCCACGUGUGACGUCACAGGUGUGAUGUCCCAGGUGCCUCAGGUGUGUUGUCUCAGGUGGGAUGUCUAAGAUGUGAUGUCUUAGGUGCCUCAGGUGUGUUGUCUCAGGUGGGAUG
Labrus mixtus (cuckoo wrasse) is the source of this 1719-nucleotide long non-coding RNA. RefSeq lists it as uncharacterized. NCBI's taxonomy places the organism in Eukaryota, Metazoa, Chordata, Actinopteri, Labriformes, Labridae. The record is from RefSeq and is a predicted model, not a curated record. The transcript is spliced from 3 exons.